AGUGAACGCUGGCGGCAGGCCUAAUACAUGCAAGUCGAACGGCAGCACAGCAGAGCUUGCUCUGUGGGUGGCGAGUGGCGGACGGGUGAGGAAUACGUGGGAAUCUGCCCAGUCGUGGGGGAUAACGUAGGGAAACUUACGCUAAUACCGCAUGCGCCCUUCGGGGGAAAGCCGGGGACCUUCGGGCCUGGCGCGAUUGGAUGAGCCCACGUCGGAUUAGCUAGUUGGCGGGGUAAAGGCCCACCAAGGCGACGAUCCGUAGCUGGUCUGGGAGAUGAUCAGCCACACUGGAACUGAGACACGGUCCAGACUCCUACGGGAGGCAGCAGUAGGGAAUAUUGGACAAUGGGCGCAAGCCUGAUCCAGCCAUGCCGCGUGAGUGAAGAAGGCCCUCGGGUUGUAAAGCU
RNAcentral lists this ribosomal RNA (407 nucleotides) under uncultured bacterium. RNAcentral's name for it is "bacterial SSU rRNA". It matches the Rfam family "Bacterial small subunit ribosomal RNA", at positions 30 to 432 of the family's 1533-position model. The record is from RNAcentral.